GCUCCUACGUAUCUCCAGGUGCUAUGAAGAACUCAAGGCAAACGUAGUUCUGCCCAAAGAGAACUACUGGGUGGAUUGCUUUUAAAGAGAGUGAUGCUUGGAUCACAUUUGAGCGAUUAAACCUUUAUAGUUCUGCCCAAAGAGAACUACUGGGUGGAUUGCUUUUAAAGAGAGUGAUGCUUGGAUCACAUUUGAGCGAUUAAACCUUUACUUGUUGCUCGCUCUUGGAGGCUGAAGUCUUUGUUUGUUUCGCAUCCAAAUGGAUGUUGCAUACUCUUUUCUGAAAAUGUUU
This 292-nucleotide long non-coding RNA is filed under the name Lathyrus oleraceus (garden pea). RNAcentral describes it as "Pisum sativum (pea) long non-coding RNA (PSAT_LNC030966)". Lineage: Eukaryota; Viridiplantae; Streptophyta; Magnoliopsida; Fabales; Fabaceae. The record is from RNAcentral.